AAGAUAAAAAUUAGAAAAAACAGUAACAUUUUAAAGACAAUAAGAUUUGGCUUUAAAAGAUAAAAUUAUGUUUAAGUGCAAUAAAAAAUUGUUGUGGAGUAAGUUGACUGUUGUCAUCUGUUUUAAAGUCAGCUACAGGCUGUCAUCUGAGCCAACAGCUAUUUGUAGUAAAAGCAGUGAGUCAGAUGUAAAGCAUAGACACUGAGGAAAAAUGAAAGAACAUCAUAGUGAGUUCAAAAAUUAUAUAUAAUUAAUAUUUUAUGUACCUAAAAAUUAAUUUAAAAUUAAAAAUUGCAUUUCAGAUUGGAAAAAUGCUUAAAGUAAACAAACAUGUAGAGUUAAAAUAGUACUAUGAACUUGAAGCUAUUGCAGUAAGGAUUUUGAAUAGGUAUAUUAGACAUUUGGCCACCAUAUAGUACUGUUGAAUUAAAACAGGUAUGGAAAUGUUAGAGAUAUUAAAAUAAUGUAAGAUGUAAUGUAACUAGUGAGGAAGCACUAGAAUAAAUUAGGAAAAAUAAGUGAAGCACAAUCUGAAGCCA
Molecule: non-coding RNA, 539 nt
Organism: Danio rerio (zebrafish)
Lineage: Eukaryota; Metazoa; Chordata; Actinopteri; Cypriniformes; Danionidae
Source: RefSeq, a predicted model, not a curated record